UUGAACGUGUACAUUCACGCUUUACCUAACUAGAACACCUCAGGAUCGCGGUUCUUUGUUUGGCAACAUAAAUGGAAGAAACAUGGGCUGGUGCCGAUGCAUAUGUGAACUCAACUUACAUGCAUUGUCAGAUCACACAUACCUUAAAUCGGUCUCACCUCGCAUCCCGUGUGAGUUGGAUUAACAUGUACAUCGAGUGCAUAUAAGAUUUGACCCACCAUUAGCCUAAGCAUGCGGGACGACUUUCAUCCAUGGGAAAAGAGAAAAGAUUCGAGCAUAGUUAAUUGCUAUCCUGCAAAUUGCAUAAUCACUGGUUCCAUAUGCUCUGGAAACUGAAAGUUAUAUUGGUCUAUCGAAUAUUCUAGCCAAAGAAUGAAUAAAUAAAUACAAAUAUUCUAUCAAACAACAUGAACUGCACACUUAGCACCGCAGACAUAAACUUGAGUUACUUACCACGAAGUCGUAGUAAUGGACGUUACUAGCUUGAGCUCCGAGGACGACAUUUCCGAAGACUAGUAAGACCGCAGCGAGGAAAAUGUUGGAGGAAUUGGACGAUGAUGUGGCCAUGCUCAUGAUCGUUCAACGACCGAUCGGUUCUUCUCUUCACACUGUCUUUCGUUUUCGCGGGUCUUGAGCUGGUGAUGGUCUCUCCUCUUUUAUAACGAAAUAUCAGUGGGGGCACAUUCUAAAAUUAAGCUA
RNAcentral lists this long non-coding RNA (699 nucleotides) under Eucalyptus grandis. RNAcentral's name for it is "long non-coding RNA (EGRA_LNC007543)". The record is from RNAcentral. Lineage: Eukaryota; Viridiplantae; Streptophyta; Magnoliopsida; Myrtales; Myrtaceae.